AGUGAACGCUGGCGGUAGGCCUAACACAUGCCAGUCGAACGGCAGCACAGUAAGAGCUUGCUCUUACGGGUGGCGAGUGGCGGACGGGUGAGGAAUACAUCGGAAUCUACUUUUUCGUGGGGGAUAACGUAGGGAAACUUACGCUAAUACCGCAUACGACCUACGGGUGGAAGCAGGGGAUCUUCGGACCUUGCGCGAUUGAAUGAGCCGAUGUCGGAUUAGCUAGUUGGCGGGGUAAAGGCCCACCAAGGCGACGAUCCGUAGCUGGUCUGAGAGGAUGAUCAGCCACACUGGAACUGAGACACGGUCCAGACUCCUACGGGAGGCAGCAGUGGAGAAUAUUGGACAAUGGGCGCAAGCCUGAUCCAGCCAUACCGCGUGGGUGAAGAAGGCCUUCGGGUUGUAAAGCCCUUUUGUUGGGAAAGAAAAGCAGCAGGUUAAUACCCCGCUGUUCUGACGGUACCCAAAGAAUAAGCACCGGCUAACUUCGUG
RNAcentral lists this ribosomal RNA (492 nucleotides) under uncultured bacterium. RNAcentral's name for it is "partial 16S ribosomal RNA". It matches the Rfam family "Bacterial small subunit ribosomal RNA", at positions 29 to 507 of the family's 1533-position model. The record is from RNAcentral.